Molecule: ribosomal RNA, 403 nt
Filed under: Verrucomicrobiota bacterium
Lineage: Bacteria; Pseudomonadati; Verrucomicrobiota
Description: Verrucomicrobia bacterium partial 16S ribosomal RNA
Rfam family: Bacterial small subunit ribosomal RNA
Source: RNAcentral
UGGGGAAUUUUGCACAAUGGGGGAAACCCUGAUGCAGCGACGCCGCGUGAGCGAAGAAGGUUUUCGAAUCGUAAAGCUCUGUCCUAUGAGAAGAUAAUGACGGUAUCAUAGGAGGAAGCCCCGGCUAAAUACGUGCCAGCAGCCGCGGUAAUACGUAUGGGGCGAGCGUUGUCCGGAAUUAUUGGGCGUAAAGGGUACGUAGGCGGUCUAUUAAGUCAGGUGUGAAAGCGUGAGGCUUAACCUCAUUAAGCACUUGAAACUGAUAGACUUGAGUGAAGGAGAGGAAAGUGGAAUUCCUAGUGUAGCGGUGAAAUGCGUAGAUAUUAGGAGGAAUACCGGUGGCGAAGGCGACUUGCUGGACUUUUACUGACGCUCAGGUACGAAAGCGUGGGGAGCAAACAGG